GUCCAUCUUGAUCCCUGUAAAUCGCUUAACCAUUUACCAACAUAAAGAAAUGAAUAGAUCGAUGGAUUUCGUAUAUUUGUAAAAUUACAUUAUGACUGUAAUGUAAAAAUGGUUCUUUUAUAUGUUAUAGUCUUAUAGAAUGAAUGUAAUUGUGGAUCUACAUCGAUGACUUUUUUUUUUCAAUAUGAGUUUGUGUGGUUUUUAAUAAACAAAUGAAUCAAAUAAAGAAAUCUGGGAUAAAAAAGCGAGUGAGCAUGACAGGCAAAGAUCUAAGAACAAGAAGAGGUGGAGUGGGGAAGCCAUGGGAGGGGAAAAGAAGAAAUAGAGGUCAUCACACUACGUUCACGUGCAUGAGCAUGUGAGAUUUUGUUGACGUGGCAACACGUGGUUCCCAGUGACCACACUCGUGCGGUGUAACAUUGUUCCUCCACGACCAGACAUCCCACUUAUCAACAAUCAUUUGAACACACUUCUCACGCGCUCUAUCGUCAGCGU
Long non-coding RNA from Arabidopsis thaliana (thale cress), 495 nucleotides. RefSeq annotates it as other RNA. The record is from RefSeq. NCBI's taxonomy places the organism in Eukaryota, Viridiplantae, Streptophyta, Magnoliopsida, Brassicales, Brassicaceae. The transcript has a single exon.